CUUGGUACAGGUGUUUUAAGAGGAGUCUUAAAGAGUCUUUGGUACCUACUCCUACAUUGCUCCAAAAUCAUCUACCUGGCAGCAUUAGGGCUAGUCUUCUGGUUAGAACAGCAGAAAGAGGCAAGUACUUUUGAAGAAACCUGUGAGUAUCUGGGUGGCUCUGAAGUCUAUCAGCAACUGCACUGCUAACUAUACAGAUAUAGCAUACACAAAGAUCCAGAUUCCAUUGAUCUAAAACUCCCAUUGAUCUAAAUGACAUGAAUUCACCAGCAAUGGAAAAGGCACUAAGGGGCAGACCC
Molecule: long non-coding RNA, 299 nt
Filed under: Anas platyrhynchos platyrhynchos (common mallard)
Lineage: Eukaryota; Metazoa; Chordata; Aves; Anseriformes; Anatidae
Description: lncRNA (ENSAPLG00000025559.1)
Source: RNAcentral